CCCCCAAACUGCCCCCUGACCUUCUGCCCCUCCAGAAAAGCUUUGCUGGGGGGAAGGUCUCUCUCCACGACUGCUUCAGCCUCUUCACCAAGGAGGAGGAGCUGGACUCGGAGAACGCCCCGGUGUGUGACAAGUGCCGGCAGCGCACGCGGAGCACCAAGAAGUUGACGAUCCAGCGCUUCCCCCGGAUCCUGGUGCUCCACCUGAACCGGUUCUCCACCACCCGCUACUCCAUCAAGAAAUGCUCCGUGUUCGUGGAUUUCCCGCUGCAGCAGCUCAACCUGCGGGAAUUCGCCAGCGAGAAGGCGGGUGAGGGAGG
Neopelma chrysocephalum (saffron-crested tyrant-manakin) is the source of this 319-nucleotide long non-coding RNA. RefSeq lists it as uncharacterized. NCBI's taxonomy places the organism in Eukaryota, Metazoa, Chordata, Aves, Passeriformes, Pipridae. The transcript is spliced from 3 exons. The record is from RefSeq and is a predicted model, not a curated record.